Molecule: ribosomal RNA, 380 nt
Filed under: uncultured bacterium
Lineage: Bacteria
Description: bacterial SSU rRNA
Rfam family: Bacterial small subunit ribosomal RNA
Source: RNAcentral
GACGAACGCUGGCGGCGUGCUUAACACAUGCAAGUCGAGCGGUAAGGCCCUUUCGGGGGUACACGAGCGGCGAACGGGUGAGUAACACGUGGGUGACCUGCCCUCAGCUCUGGGAUAAGCCUGGGAAACCGGGUCUAAUACUGGAUAUGACUCCAUGACGCAUGUUGUGGGGUGGAAAGCCUUGUGCGGCUGAGGAUGGGCCCGCGGCCUAUCAGCUUGUUGGUGGGGUGANGGCCUACCAAGGCGACGACGGGUAGCCGGCCUGAGAGGGCGACCGGCCACACUGGGACUGAGACACGGCCCAGACUCCUACGGGAGGCAGCAGUGGGGAAUCUUGCGCAAGUGGGCGAAAGCCUGACGCAGCGACGCCGCGUGAGGGA